UACGUAGGGGGCGAGCGUUGUCCGGAAUCAUUGGGCGUAAAGAGCGUGUAGGCGGUUCGGUAAGUCUGCCGUGAAAUCCCUCGGCUCAACUGAGGAACUGCCUUUGAAACUGUCUGGCUUGAGGCCGGGAGAGGGUAGCGGAAUUCCCAGUGUAGCGGUGAAAUGCGUAGAUAUUGGGAGGAACACCAGUGGCGAAGGCGGCUACCUGGACCGGUUCUGACGCUGAGGCGCGAAAGCGUGGGUAGCAAACAGG
Molecule: ribosomal RNA, 253 nt
Filed under: uncultured bacterium
Lineage: Bacteria
Description: partial 16S ribosomal RNA
Rfam family: Bacterial small subunit ribosomal RNA
Source: RNAcentral